Molecule: ribosomal RNA, 604 nt
Filed under: uncultured Actinomycetes bacterium
Lineage: Bacteria; Bacillati; Actinomycetota; Actinomycetes
Description: bacterial SSU rRNA
Rfam family: Bacterial small subunit ribosomal RNA
Source: RNAcentral
GUGAGGUAAUGGCUCACCAAGGCUUCGACGGGUAGCCGGCCUGAGAGGGUGACCGGCCACACUGGGACUGAGACACGGCCCAGACUCCUACGGGAGGCAGCAGUGGGGAAUAUUGGACAAUGGGCGAAAGCCUGAUCCAGCAACGCCGCGUGAGGGAUGACGGCCUUCGGGUUGUAAACCUCUUUCAGCAGGGACGAAGCGAAAGUGACUUUACCUGCAGAAGAAGCACCGGCCAACUACGUGCCAGCAGCCGCGGUAAUACGUAGGGUGCGAGCGUUGUCCGGAAUUAUUGGGCGUAAAGGGCUCGUAGGCGGUUUGUCACGUCGGGAGUGAAAACUCAGGGCUUAACCCUGAGCCUGCUUCCGAUACGGGCAGACUAGAGGUAUGCAGGGGAGAACGGAAUUCCUGGUGUAGCGGUGAAAUGCGCAGAUAUCAGGAGGAACACCGGUGGCGAAGGCGGUUCUCUGGGCAUUACCUGACGCCGAGGAGCGAAAGUGUGGGGAGCGAACAGGAUUAGAUACCCUGGUAGUCCACACCGUAAACGUUGGGCGCUAGGUGUGGGACUCAUUCCACGAGUUCCGUGCCGCAGCUAACGCAUUAAGCG